RNAcentral lists this unclassified non-coding RNA (241 nucleotides) under plant metagenome. RNAcentral describes it as "partial contains small subunit ribosomal RNA, internal transcribed spacer 1, and 5.8S ribosomal RNA". The record is from RNAcentral.
UCUCCGUUGGCGAACCAGCGGAGGGAUCAUUACCGAGUUUUCUACUCCCAAACCUCUGUGAACUUAUACCUUUACCGUUGCUUCGGCGGGUUAACGCCCCGGAAAGGCCCCCGAAAGGGAGCCGCCCCGGAACCAGGCGCCCGCCGGGGGACCCAAACUCUUGUAUUUUCUUACCUAGCAUGUCUGAGUGGAAUCAUAAACAAAUGAAUCAAAACUUUCAACAACGGAUCUCUUGGUUCUG